CCUACGGGUGGCUGCAGUGGGGAAUCUUGCACAAUGGGGGAAACCCUGAUGCAGCGACGCCGCGUGGAGGACGAAGGAUCUAGGUCUGUAAACUCCUUUUUCACGGAAAGACUUAGGACGGUACCGUGAGAAUAAGCCCCGGCUAACUACGUGCCAGCAGCCGCGGUAAGACGUAGGGGGCGAGCGUUGUCCGGAUUUACUGGGCGUAAAGAGCGCGUAGGCGGCUCGUUAAGUGUGAAGUGAAAUCUCCAGGGCUCAACCCGGAAACUGCUUCGCAUACUGGCGAGCUUGAGGAAUGCAGAGGUAAGUAGAAUUCCUGGUGUAGCGGUGAAAUGCGUAGAUAUCAGGAGGAAUACCGACGGCGAAGGCAGCUUACUGGGCAUUAUCUGACGCUGAGGCGCGAAAGCGUGGGUAGCAAACAGGCUUAGAUACCCCGGUAGUC
This 442-nucleotide ribosomal RNA is filed under the name uncultured Armatimonadota bacterium. Its description in RNAcentral is "bacterial SSU rRNA". It matches the Rfam family "Bacterial small subunit ribosomal RNA", at positions 338 to 795 of the family's 1533-position model. Lineage: Bacteria; Bacillati; Armatimonadota. The record is from RNAcentral.